Molecule: non-coding RNA, 2271 nt
Organism: Phalacrocorax carbo (great cormorant)
Lineage: Eukaryota; Metazoa; Chordata; Aves; Suliformes; Phalacrocoracidae
Source: RefSeq, a predicted model, not a curated record
CAAGGGUACACCUAGGAACCUCAUCAGUAAGGCCCAAGAGUUGUAACUGUGAGUAGCAGCACAGUACAGACCUACACGACUUUCUUCCCUAAUAUCCCAGGCCAGCAAUGACCUCUCUGCAGUGAAUGGAAGAGGAAGCCUGAUGAAUGCAAAUACCAUGUGGCAAAGUCUAGAUCUUGAUAAAAACAGUCAGCAGCCAGAAAAAUCUGUAUGCAAUGGGAUGCUACUGUGGGCCAGCAUACUGAAUCUAGUCUAGCCUGAGAUACCUUUGAUAGGCUGUGGUUGAGCAGUAAGAAGAGAGGCCAUCUGUUUUCCUUUUGAUGGUGAUGCAACAGCCUGGCCAGGUAAAAGCAUCAAGAAGGGAGAAGCAUGUGCCUUCUUUAGAAUAACUAAACAUGCCUGGAAGAGAAAAGCUGUCAAGAUGACAUGUGGAAUGGCAGAGAAGAAACAUGGCCAGGAGGGAGGCUGCAGCACGGGCAGGAGGUAGAAGGUGCCUGUAUCUAACAAGCAGCAAAAAGAGAGUGGGUGGGGACUGACUGUUCAGGGCACUGUGAAGUGAGGACGGUGGAAGCCUCAAAAAGAGGUGAUUCUUUAUGAAACAGGCUGUAGCCCUGGGAAACUUCUUGCCAAAGAUGAUGUAGAUGCAAGAAGUUUGCAUGGGCUCAAAGGAGACUGGGCUGAUAUUUGGAAGCGAGUACUUGGGAUUAUCUACUAAGCAGACAAGCUACGUCAGGCUAAGGUUUCUGCUGAACCAUAAAUACUCAGAAACCGUCAAAGCAUUAGAGAGUAGUAUUAAAUGUUUUUUUCCUUGCUUUUCUUUUUCCUUUGGCUACUUUUUGUGGCCCUAAUUAGAGAGCGAAUACUGCACAGAUGGUCCAAGAUGACCCUUGAUCUGAAGCAGUGUGCCUCUUCUUCUGGAGACAGGCAGCCAGGACUGAUAAAGGAUGAAAAGAAACUACUCCUGAGGGUACUAUGUGUAGUAAACUGUGAUCCCAGAAGCUACUGAAAGAUUACUGGAGAGACAACAAAUCGCAGAUAAAGGACUCCAUUGCCAGUACAGAGCUGUGUUUAUAGACCAGUUUUCAUUUGUUCUCUCCCACUAUGAACUUUCUUGGGUUUAAAAUUAUUAGCGUCCUAGUUCCUGUUGUAACACAACCUAACUUUUGAGGCUCUAAGCUCUCUUGGGAAUUUUGGGGGUGGGGAAGUCUCACUUUCUGGAAAAUGUAUAGGCAAAUCCAUCUGUAAGCUCAGCCUUCAUGCUCAGGGUGCAUACAACAGACUGGUGCUACAGCAAUGGUGCUUCCAGGCACCAUUUCCAGCAGGUUAAACCGUCCAGAUUUUUUUGCAGGCAUGUAGCUGGGAGAGACCAACUAGAUCAGCCUUAUUCACCGACCAGAGGAUCACAGGCACAGGCUAUCACAUACAGAAAUGGCCACUGAGCACCAUGGUGUGCAAUUAAUACCACCUUAUCACCUCCAAAAGUUUGGCCUCACUGUUUGAAGAAUUUGGACCUCUCUGGCUGAAAAUUCAAGUGAAGAGCAGGGAUCCAUAGCCGAGAUGGUUGAUUUCUCUGUGGUAGAUAUUAAAUUUGAGAGCUUACCGCAGCCCAUCACUGGAACAGUUCCCCAGCUGUGGGGUCAAGAAAGGACCCGCUUUUUAGGAGAUGCCUGCAGAGACCUGCUGACAGGCGCGUUAAGAAGAUGUGUAAGCCACCGUAACCAGGGAGCGGUUAGUACCUUACAGCAUCCUAUUCAAGGAAACACCAGUCAGCUUUAGUAAGCUGGGCCUGCAGGGAGUCCCUCUGGAGAAGAGCUUUGCUCUGGGGUCCUUCAAGUCCUUUUUCUUCUCUGAGAAGCACCAACAGAGCUGGCAAUACACAGCACUACUGUCACAUGGAGGGGUCCUCAGUGGGAAUCGGUUUGAAACCCUUUGCCUAAGGAGCUCUUUGCAAUCAGUGACAGAUACUAAUGACAGCAAUUGAUCCUGGAGAUAAGAGUGAAUCAGCCUUCGAGGACUCCUGAAUGAUCCUGCAGCUUAACAGCUCCAGCCCUGAAAACAUCAAUUUAACAUCAUGCCUGUAGCCACCCUAAUUUUAUCCAGGGGAUUAGAUUAAAAAAUCUUCAUGUUUUUCUCCAAAAACAAUGUCUGUAUUUCGCUAACGUAUGAUACGUGCAGUGUUCACAGAAAAAAAAACAAAAACCAAGAUGCAGAGUUGUUAGUGUUGUAUGCAGUAAGAAAAAUUAAAUACAAACUUGAUACUUCUGAAAUAAA